AUUGAACGCUGGCGACAGGCCUAACACAUGCAAGUCGAGCGGAUGAAGGGAGCUUGCUCCUGGAUUCAGCGGCGGACGGGUGAGUAAUGCCUAGGAAUCUGCCUGGUAGUGGGGGAUAACGUCCGGAAACGGGCGCUAAUACCGCAUACGUCCUGAGGGAGAAAGUGGGGGAUCUUCGGACCUCACGCUAUCAGAUGAGCCUAGGUCGGAUUAGCUAGUUGGUGGGGUAAAGGCCUACCAAGGCGACGAUCCGUAACUGGUCUGAGAGGAUGAUCAGUCACACUGGAACUGAGACACGGUCCAGACUCCUACGGGAGGCAGCAGUGGGGAAUAUUGGACAAUGGGCGAAAGCCUGAUCCAGCCAUGCCGCGUGUGUGAAGAAGGUCUUCGGAUUGUAAAGCACUUUAAGUUGGGAGGAAGGGCAGUAAGUUAAUACCUUGCUGUUUUGACGGUACCAACAGAAUAAGCACCGGCUAACUUCGUG
This 484-nucleotide ribosomal RNA is filed under the name uncultured bacterium. Its description in RNAcentral is "partial 16S ribosomal RNA". It matches the Rfam family "Bacterial small subunit ribosomal RNA", at positions 30 to 507 of the family's 1533-position model. The record is from RNAcentral.